AUCAUGGUAGCCACCUCCUUGUAAUUCGGAUCCAACUGAGACACCCCUUGGAGAGUGAAUGAGGUAAGUAUCUCUACCCUUGAGUCUCAAAUAUCUGAGCUAACUAGUUUGGUAAAAACAUGGCCACAUAAAACAACCAAUGAGCUCGAGUGUGUGGGAUUUGUGCACAUUUGGGACACCCCAAGGAUAUGUGCCCCAUGCUCUAUGAUGAUGACAGUAGCAAGUCAAUAUGGUGGGUGGUUUCCCAACUCAAAC
RNAcentral lists this long non-coding RNA (255 nucleotides) under Carica papaya (papaya). Its description in RNAcentral is "long non-coding RNA (CPAP_LNC000647)". The record is from RNAcentral. Lineage: Eukaryota; Viridiplantae; Streptophyta; Magnoliopsida; Brassicales; Caricaceae.